UAAUCUUCAAAGGGCACCCAUCGAAGACUUUGGAGAAACACGCUCCCAUCAGCACCUUUGGCGUUGGUGGCAAACCAUUGAUUGCUGGCUUAGGAAAAUCUCUUUUCUCUUUUUUACGUGGCAGCUGAGGGAUUUGUCCAGAUCCUUCUGCAUUUUCCUCAAUGAGUUUCAACAUGCCGUCCCCAUUCCCCAAGUCGCUGUAUCUAGCUGUGAGCAAUCCUG
RNAcentral lists this long non-coding RNA (222 nucleotides) under Gallus gallus (chicken). Lineage: Eukaryota; Metazoa; Chordata; Aves; Galliformes; Phasianidae. The record is from RNAcentral.